RNAcentral lists this ribosomal RNA (905 nucleotides) under uncultured Methylophaga sp. Its description in RNAcentral is "bacterial SSU rRNA". It matches the Rfam family "Bacterial small subunit ribosomal RNA", at positions 46 to 939 of the family's 1533-position model. The record is from RNAcentral. Lineage: Bacteria; Pseudomonadati; Pseudomonadota; Gammaproteobacteria; Thiotrichales; Piscirickettsiaceae.
GCCUACACAUGCAAGUCGAACGGCAGCAUAAGAGAGCUUGCUCUCUUGAUGGCGAGUGGCGGACGGGUGAGUAAUGUAUAGGGAUCUGCCCAGUAGUGGGGGACAACAGCCGGAAACGGCUGCUAAUACCGCAUACGCUCUACGGAGGAAAGCGGGGGACCUUUCGGGGCCUCGCGCUAUUGGAUGAACCUAUAUCAGAUUAGCUAGUUGGUGGGGUAAUGGCCUACCAAGGCAACGAUCUGUAGCUGGUCUGAGAGGAUGAUCAGCCACACUGGGACUGAGACACGGCCCAGACUCCUACGGGAGGCAGCAGUGGGGAAUAUUGCACAAUGGAGGCAGCUCUGAUGCAGCAAUGCCGCGUGUGUGAAGAAGGCCUUAGGGUUGUAAAGCACUUUCAAUGGGGAGGAAAAGCUGUAAGUUAAUACCUUACAGCCGUGACGUUACCUAUAGAAGAAGGACCGGCUAACUCCGUGCCAGCAGCCGCGGUAAUACGGAGGGUCCGAGCGUUAAUCGGAAUUACUGGGCGUAAAGCGCGCGUAGGCGGAUAAAUAAGUCAGAUGUGAAAUCCCCGGGCUCAACCUGGGAACUGCAUUUGAAACUGUAUAUCUAGAGCGUGGUAGAGGUGAGUGGAAUUUCAGGUGUAGCGGUGAAAUGCGUAGAGAUCUGAAGGAACAUCAGUGGCGAAGGCGACUCACUGGGCCAUUACUGACGCUGAGGUGCGAAAGCGUGGGUAGCAAACAGGAUUAGAUACCCUGGUAGUCCACGCCCUAAACGAUGUCAACUAGGUGUGUGAAGAUAUAAUCUUUGCGUAUCGAAGCUAACGCGAUAAGUUGACCGCCUGGGGAGUACGGCCGCAAGGCUAAAACUCAAAUGAAUUGACGGGGGCCCGCACAAGCGGUGGAGCA